RNAcentral lists this ribosomal RNA (279 nucleotides) under uncultured bacterium. Its description in RNAcentral is "partial small subunit ribosomal RNA". It matches the Rfam family "Bacterial small subunit ribosomal RNA", at positions 26 to 287 of the family's 1533-position model. The record is from RNAcentral.
AGAACGAACGCUGGCGGCGUGCCUGAGACAUGCAAGUCGUGGGAGAAAGUCGGGGCAACUCGGCGAGUAAACCGGCGCACGGGUGAGUAACACGUGGAUAACCUGCCCUGGAGACUGGGAUAACCCGUCGAAAGACGGACUAAUACCAGAUAAGACCACGGACAGUUCGCUGUCCGAGGUAAAAGGUGGCCUCUGCUCCUGCAAGCUAUCACUCCGGGAGGGGUCCGCGGCCUAUCAGCUAGUUGGCGGGUAACGGCCCACCAAGGCAAAGCGGGUAGC